CAGAGUGCCGGAGACGGGUGUUCCAUCCGGGACAUCGGUGGCACACGUGGGAGCAAAGUGUGCGCACGCGCACAGCACCCUGGGCCGUUUUUGCCCGCGUCGGGGCUGGGAGGCACCGGGAACCUAUCGCAGGCAGCUAAUCGCAGGUUUGCGUCUUUGCGAGUGAAUUCUCGUUUCCAGACGAGGAGCUCUGGGCCCGGUUAUCAGUCGUGGUCGCUGGUGCGGCCCAGCGGACCGUGGGGCGGACCCUGGAAGCAAUUCCACUGCAGGCGUCUUCUCGGUCCCCAGAAAGCAAAACGAUGGCACCGCCGUCGCCACCACCGCCCAAACCGGAAGUCGGGCACGCCCUGGUGACCUCGCCAUUGUCCUGAUCGUCACCGGCACCGCCGUCCCGCUCGCCUCGGCGGCCGUUGGACACUCGCGUGGCUGAGGGCUUGCAUGUGUAAUUUGCUUCUCCAGCAGUCGCACGAGAUCAGCUGUUACGAGUAUUCCCAUCAUGAGGAGUUUCCCAUUUUUUAAAGGGGGAGAAUCAAAGUUCAGACAGACUUCCCAAAGCCCAUACGGCCGUUCAAUGAUACAGCCAGAAUGGGAACCCGUAAGGCUCCGUCUGUGGCGUUGGGGCACAGAAGGGAAAAAAAAAAAAACAGAGAGAAAAGUUCUUGUUGCCUGAAGCUAACAUUUUAGUAGAAGAAUACAGACAGCUGAUAAAUAAGUUAAAUACAAAUAGAAUAGCAUCUACUACUAAGGGGUUAUAGGAACUAUGAAGAAAAGCAGAGGAGGAAACAGGAAUCUGGAGUACUAGAAAUGGGAUGAAGUUUUUUUUUUUUCCUCCUAAUUUAAACUUUUUGUCCCUCUCAUUAAAAAAAGAGAGAAAGAAAGAAAGAAAGAAAGAAAGAGAAAAAAAGAAAUAAUCUUACAGCAUCAGCCAAUGACCAGAGAGUAGCCAUUUUACAAGGCAGCUUCAGUAUUCAUUUUUUUCUUGGUUCUGUAUUUAGAAGACAUGUUUGUAUUUUUUCAGUGAAGACGCUUGAUUUUAGCAAAUUGCUUGAGGGGACAUACUUUAGGAUCAAAGAAACAGAUAUGGAAACAAAAGAAUCAGAAAUGAUAUCAUGUCAAGAAAGCAUGAGAGACUCGGAGUAGCCAAACUUGCAAUAGACAUACUGGACCAUAAAACAAUGACUUUCUUAAGAGAGACAAAGGACAUUUCAUAAUAAUGAAAUAUAUAUAUAUGUGUGUGUGUGUGUGUGUGUGUGUGUGUGUACACAUAUACUUAACAACAGAGUUCUAAGUUACUUGAAUCAAAAACAGAACAAUUCAGGGAGAAAUAGAAAACUCAACAGUAAUAAUUGCAGACACGAAUAGCCCACUUUAAAUACUGGACAAGACAAUUGGACAGAUUAUUGACAAGUUUAGGUAAGACUUGAGCACUAUAGAAACCAAUCAGAGCUAACAUACCACAGACACAACACUUUACCCGAAGAAAACAGAAUACAAAUUCUUCUCGAGCAUAAAUGGAGCACUCCAGAGGGUAACAUCCAUUCAAGCCUGUAAAACAAGACUUCUGAAUUUGAAAAUAUUGACAUAGAUAUGGAUGCAAGUAUAUUCUAAAAUUUCAAUAUAACUAGAAAUCACCAUGAGAAAGAAAUUUGAAAAAUUCGUAAGUAUGUGAAAAUUAUAAAAUAUGUUUCUUAAAAAAACAGUUGGUCAAAGAAGAGACUAGAAGAGAAAUUAUAAAAUAUUUUCGGAUACGUUAAAAUGAAAACAAAACAUACCAAACUUAUGAAAUGCAGUUAAAACUAUUUCAGAGAAAAUUUACAAUGGGAAAUGUUUGUAUUAAAAAAGAAAACAGACCUCAAAUCAAUAACCUACCAUUUUUUACCUUGAGACACUGAAAAGAAAAACAAAAUAAACCUUAAGAAAACAAGGAAGGAAGUAAAGAUCGGAGCAGGAAUUAAAGAAAUAAAGAAAAGAAAAACAAUAGAGAAAAUCAAGAAAAUGCAAAGUAAGCCCUUGGGAACGAUCAACACACUUGAUAUAUUUUCAGCAAGACAAACCAAGAAAAAAAGACAGAAGACAUGUACCAUCAAAAUUAGAAACAUAAGAGGGGACACUGGGGCUGACUUUACAGAAAUUCAGAAAGAUUGUGAUGAAAUACGACUAACAACCUACGCCAACAAAUUAGACAACUUGGAUGAAAAAGAGAAAUUCCUAGAAAUGCAAAACUACCGACACUGACUCAUAAAGAAAUACAAAAUGCAAACAUACCCACCACAGGAAAGUGUCGAAUUAUUCCUAUGAAAGCCUCCCAUGAAGGAAAGAGCAAAGCUAAAAUGGUUUCACUGCCCAACCGAAUUCGCAAUUCAGAUGGCGAAUUCCACCAAACAUCCCAGGAAGAAUUAAUACCAGUCCCUCACAAAAUCCUCCCAGAAAUCGAAGGAAGCACCACUCUCCAGCACAUGGUGUGCGUCUAGAAUUUUCCUGUUCCCAAACCAAAGGUACUUCAAUAAAAGAAAACUGCGGACCAAGAAAUCCUCAACAGCAUGCCAGCAAAUUUCAUCCAGCAGAACAUACAAGGGAUCGUGUGGAUUACCACCACCACGUGGGAUUUGUGUCGGGUAUGCAAGGUUCUUACGACAGCCAGAACCCAAUUAUGAUGCGUUGCAUUAAAAAAAUAAAGAACAAAAGCCACAUGACCAUCCAAAGAGACACAAGCAAAAAAAAAAGGGAAAGGAAAAAAAAAAAAAAAACAUUUGAGAAAACCCAACCUCUUUCGUGACAAAAACACUCAGAAAUUAGACACAGGAAGGAACUUUCUUAACCCAGCAAAGGGCAUGUAGGAAAAUGCCACAGCUAACACGUUCACACUGAAUGACUGACAGCUUUAAGACGAGGAGCACAUCGGCCCAUCAAGGCUGCCCGGUUUCACCAGGCUGUCCCACAUUGUAUUGGAAGUUCUAGCCAGAACAAUCAGGCGAGAAAAAGAAACAAAAGGCAACCAAAUUGGAAAGCGCAGCCACUUUACAAAACAGUUGGCCAAUUUCUCAAAAUGCUAAAUAUAGGGAAAUCAGAUGACUUUCUAAAUCCACACCCCCAAGUAUCUCUCUAAGAGAUUUGGAAACAAACAUCCACGUAAACAUCCUUCCCUGUCCCCGAAUGUUGAUAGUAGCAUUUUUCGUAACAGUCAAAACAUGGAGACAGCUCAAAUGUCCAUUGUCUGAUCCUGGAUAGGUAAUGCGGAUAUCACGUACAAUGGAAUAGUAUUCUCCAAUAAAAAAUGAAACGCAGAUGCAAGCUGCAGCAUGAAAAAACCUUGAAACGUUAUGCCUAGUGAAAGAAGCCAGUCACAAAGACCGUGUAUGGUAUGAUUCUAUUUAUAUGAAAUGCCCAGUGUAUGCAAAUGUAUGGAAUCAAAAUACGGAUUAGCGUGCCCAGAGCUCGGGGAAUUUGGCAGAAAAGAGUAAGUCUCUUGCUACCACAUCCAGGGAACAACUGAAUUUUAUUACAGAGUGGAUUUAUUGUUUAUAGAUUUAUUAUACGUAAAUUGAAUUACGCAGAUCCCAGAUCUGCAUUGCCUGCUGUCCAAGAUCUGACCGUAUUUGCAUCUGAAAGUUUUCCAGUUUUCUAGCUCUUUGCUUGAGAGAAGAAAAAUCUUCAACUCUUCUAGUCAGAACCAACGACCUCACUCGCAAUUUUCAAGCAAUCACCCUCCAGUACACGUCCACAGACACAGAAACUUCUUAACAUGUCCAAGGACACACCGUGUGACCUGACCUCUGGAAUGGCUUACUUGGCAUCGUGUUUCCUUGGAAGUGGGACUCACUCCCCUGACUCAGGACCUAGGUACGUGCUGUGCCUUCAGUGUAAAAAGGGCCCCCUCUGUGUUCUCCCAGCUGGCUCCUUUUAUGUCGUCUGGUCGCAUUUUAAAUGUUACGAUCCCAGGGAUGUCCUCCUGACCACCCACCACAUCUUGUGUUUUCCCUUUCACGCUGUCCUAUUUUCCUCCCCAAAGUCCCGAUUACGUACAUUUGAUAUUUUACUCUUUUAUUAUAGAUGUGUGCUGAUCACUCUGCCUCAGAAGAGCAGAAUGGUAUCUGUCCUGCCCUCUAACAUAUCGAGCAAGGGGCUGGCAGAUAGCAAUUACUCGAUAUGUAUUUGUUCAAUGAACACACAAAGUAAUUCGCCUAUCUUCACUCUCCAGGGUCAGCGGGGUGUGCAGUAUUUUUCCCUUGACCUUUUUGUCAUCUCCCUCGAUGUGGAAGAAGCUGGAAAGCCCGCACACAAGAUCUACUGUCUGUGCCCCAUCCACAGUUUCAACUCUAUGCGUCCUUUCCGUCCCAUAUAAGGGGCCAGGUUUCAAAGGACAGACGAAGACAUGACGACAGGUCACGGAUAAGACAAAAGACCCAGGCUGUCAGGUGCCUUUCAGGUGUUGUAGCCCUUCAGGGAUAGGUUGCCUUGCCCACGCUUUUGAGAGCGCCUCCAAGCCCAGGGCCUGUGAAAGUCUCACGUAACGCCCUCUACAUGUUAGGGCCUCCAGUCUUUCUACAGAUGUUAUCGCAAUCAACUGCUCUCAGGUUGCCCUGUGGAUAGGGUUGGUAUUGUAUCUGUCUUGCAGAUUAAAUAAAUAGCUGAGUCAAAAGCAUCCUUGCUUUAGGCACGUUUAUGCCCGAGGUUCGUCGUUCGACCCUCUUGUGGAUGAAGGACAUCACGAAAAGGGGUCUGUACGCCUUCUCUUCACACAGAUUCCUGUACAACCUGUGCUGCUCAGCACCAAGAACUGGGCUGACAUUAAGGGCAUUUCCUUUGUCCCCAGUUCUUCCUAUAUUGCAAGGCCAAAGAUUGUACCGCUAAAAUAUCCCCUGUAAAAAUCACAUAAUGCGCUGAGACCUGCCCCCUGAAAAGAGUGUGUUUCCUCGGCCUCACAACAUCCUUGACAAACUGCUCAAGGUGGGGUGAGGCACGGGGUCUCAGAGGCAGGCUGCUGUUAGCACUCGGCCAGCCAUAAAUUAAGUGCCUGCAUGCCAAGUGGGUGUCCUGUCGGAAGAGUCACAGACACGACCGGUCUCUGCCACAGAUCUUGGGAAAAAAAAAAAAAAAGAAAGUCGCAUAAACAAUAUCAUUUAUGAGCUCCGAAAGUGAGGCAGGCAUGUAAAAACAUCGGGGGGAGAAAGGGAGAAAUGGGAAAAUGCUACAGUAGUGUUAUCUUUGAGAGGGAAAAAAAAUGCACUGUAUCCCAAUUGUCUCCAAAAUUAUGCAACCAAAGGAAAGGAGCCUGUCAAAUCCCUUCCUAAUUAAAUGCAUACAUUUGUUCCUUUUCAAAAAUGGCCACACGCCCCAUCUGCUAGUGCAGAAUGCUUGGGUUUUUCAGCCAAUAUCCUCACGCUAAACUGUGCUGCAGAGUCGAGGGGCACAGGGGCCCUGGGCGCUCAGAGCAGCUCCCUGAAAAGAGGUAAAAGAAUUUCUGUUUGCACUUGAGUUAUUUAUCUACACUUUUAUGACGAGAAGACGGAAUAUUGAGGGAAAGUUAAAUCAUCGGAGGGUUCAAGCUGCAGGCACGGCUCUGACAGGCUGACGAGCAUUUUUAGGGGUAUGAUAAUUUGGUCGAAAAGCAGUGAUUCUUUUUAACAGCUCAUAUUAAAUCAGAGGAGUCGUUAACUUGAGCCACUCAAAAAAAGUCUGAGGCACCUCACGCACAUUUUCCGCGGCACGCACGUUUACUCCGUGGGUUAGUUGCCUUUGUUCUGGGCUACCGUACAGGACCCACGGUGAGCCCUUCUGCCCCCCCGAAGGACGCGGAAACGUUGCUCUACGUGAUCCCCUCGUCAUUGUGACCUUCUCCAGACACCUCUGUACGUUCUAAUGUGACCUCCCUCCCAGCUUCGGAUCAGGUGCAACCCUGUGAGUCCCACAAUGCCGGUUCUCCAGAGCCAAAUCCUUCCUUCCACCUUCCUUCCUUCCACCUUCCUUCCUUCCACCUUCCUUCCUUCCUUCCUUUGUUUCUUCCUUCCUUCCACCUUCCUUCCUUUGUUCCUUCCUUCCUUCCCUCCUUCCUUCCUUCAUGCUUCUCCGUCCACAAACACUCAACAUUUUUGAGAUCUCUCAAAAUCUCUCCAAAUCUCUCAAAAAAUUGAGAGAUUCUUAUUCUCUCAAGCCAAACGCUGUGCAAAAGCUCAAAUCUCUUCUUCCUCUGGAUUCCAGGUCCUCGUUACAUGAGUCAUUCAACCCAUCAGCACAUCGUAAUUCAUCUUGCAUAUGGUUUGAUUGUUCCCAUGUAAAAUUUGUGUUGAUGUAUGAAUUUUAAUAAAUCUGUAACUACAUAAGAUUGCAUCAGGCAAACUCUAACUGUUUAGGGUUAUAAUUGUUAUUAUCAAUAAUAAAAUCUAUAGUGAGUGCUCAGGAAUCUGGCUGGAAGAUUAUUCUUGCUUCUAGUAGACGCUGCUGGAUAAACUUUCAGGCAAUUUUGUCCGAGUAAGCUGCCUGUCUUGUUAUCCAAUUACACACACUCACAGGCAGCACGACGUCUCCUUGACGUGCCUGAGCGUUAGAGCCCCUUCCGCGAAUGGCAUCGCCCUCCCCGCUCCCUUCAAAAGUUAAUAUCACAUGCAUGUUUUGGAAAUAAAAGCUUUCCACGUUGCUACAAAAGGCAUAUUUCAUUCUUUCUCAUUGCCAAGUAGUAUUCCAUGGUGUAUAUAAACCACAAUUUCUUUAUCCAUUCAUCAGUUGGUGGACAUUUAGGCUCUUUCCAUAAUUUGGCCAUUGAUAGCCUUUUGUAGCAACGUGGAUGGAACCACAGAGUGUUAUGCUAAGUGAAAUAAGUCAUACAGAGAAAGACACAUACCAUAUGUUUUCAUUCUUAUGUGGAUCCUGAGAAACUUAACAGAAGACCAUAGGGGAGGGGAAGGGGGGGG
Molecule: long non-coding RNA, 6908 nt
Organism: Acinonyx jubatus (cheetah)
Lineage: Eukaryota; Metazoa; Chordata; Mammalia; Carnivora; Felidae
Exons: 6
Source: RefSeq, a predicted model, not a curated record